CAGGCUAUGGGUCAGGCUAUGGGUCAGGCUAUGGGUCAGGCCGUGCUAUGGGUCAGGCUAUGGGUCUGGCUGUGGGUCAGGCUAUGGGUCAGGCUGUGCUAUGGGUCAGGCUAUGGGUCAGGCUAUGGGUCAGGCUAUGAGUCAGGCUAUGGGUCCAGCUGUGGGUGUGGCUGUGCUAUGGGUCAGGCUGUGGGUCAGGCUAUGGGUCACGCUAUGGGUCACGCUAUGGGUCAGGCUGUGGGUCAGGCUGUGGGGCUGAUGUUUGCACAGAGCGCGCUGUGAGCGCGGGGCACGAUGUGAGCGACGGGGGGCUGCUGAGCUGUGGGUCAGGCUAUGGGUCAGGCUAUGGGUCCGGCUGUGCUAUGGGUCAGGCUAUGGGUCAGGCUGUGGGUCAGGCUAUGGGUCAGGCAAUGCUAUGGGUCAGGCUAUGGGUCAGGCCAUGCUAUGGGUCAGGCUAUGGGGCUGAUGUUUGCACAGAGCGCGCUGUGAGCGCGGGGCACGACGUGAGCGAUGGGGGGCUGCUGAGCUGGGGGUCAGGCUAUGGGUCAGGCUGUGCUAUGGGUCAGGCUAUGGGUCAGGCUGUGGGUCAGGCUAUGGGUCAGGCUGUGCUAUGGGUCAGGCCACGCUAUGGGUCAGGCUGUGGGGCUGAUGUUUGCACAGAGCGCGCUGUGAGCGCGGGGCACGACGUGAGCGAUGGGGGGCUGCUGAGCUGUGGGUCAGGCUAUGUGUCAGGCUAUGGGUCAGGCUAUGGGUCAGGCCAUGCUAUGGGUCAGGCUGUGGGGCUGAUAUUUGCACAGAGCGCGCUGUGAGCGCGGGGCACGACGUGAGCGACGGGGGGCUGCUGAGCUGUGGGUCAGGCUAUGGGUCAGGCCAUGCUAUGGGCCAGGCUAUGGGUCAGGCCAUGCUAUGGGUCAGGCUAUGGGGCUGAUGUUUGCACAGAGCGGGCUGUGAGCGCGGGGCACGACGUGAGCGAUGGGGGGCUGCUGAGCUGCGCCCUGGAAAUGGCCAUGGCCGGGAACUGCGGCCUCAGCAUCCAGCUCCACAGCGACGGCGCCCAGCGUACGUGGGGCAGCCACAGCCCAUAAUAGUCCCCCGGCGCGGCCCGUCCUAUCCCAUAAUAACCCAGCCUAUCCCAUAAUAUCCUGUCCUAUCGCAUCAUAUCCCGUCCUAUCUCGUAAUAUCCCGUCCUAUCCCAUCCUAUCCCUUCCUAUCCCAUAAUAUCCCGUCCUAUCCCAUCAUAUCCUGUCCUAUCCCAUCCUAUCCUGUCCUAUCCCAUAAUAUCCCAAAAUAUCCCAUCCUAUCCCAUCAUAUCCCAUCCUAUCCCAUAAUAUUCCAUCCUAUCCCAUCCUAUCCCAUCAUAUUCUAUCCUGUCCUAUCCUAUCCCAUCCUAUCCCAUAAUAUCCCAUGCUAUCCCAUAAUAUUCCAUGCUAUCUCAUAAUAUCCCAUCCUAUCCCAUCAUAUCCUAUCAUAUCCAUUCAUACCCUAUAAUAUCCUUUCCUAUCCCAUAAUAUCCCAUCGUACCCCAUCCUAUCCCAUCCUAUCCCAUCUUAUCCCAUAAUAUCCCGUCCUAUCCCAUAAUAUCCCAUAAUAUCCCACCCCAUCCCAUAAUAUCCCAUCCAUCCCAUCAUAUCCCAUCCUAUCCCAUAAUAUCCCGUCGUAUCCCAUAAUAUCCCGUCCUAUCCCAUAAUAUGCCAUCCUAUCCCAUAAUAUCCUACCCUAUCCCAUCCUAUCCCAUAAUAUCCCUUCCUAUCCCAUAAUAUCCUAUCCUAUCCCAUAAUACCCCAGCGCAGCACAUCGUAUCCCAUCCUA
Molecule: long non-coding RNA, 1809 nt
Organism: Numida meleagris (helmeted guineafowl)
Lineage: Eukaryota; Metazoa; Chordata; Aves; Galliformes; Numididae
Source: Ensembl